This 600-nucleotide ribosomal RNA is filed under the name uncultured bacterium. RNAcentral describes it as "bacterial SSU rRNA". It matches the Rfam family "Bacterial small subunit ribosomal RNA", at positions 91 to 677 of the family's 1533-position model. The record is from RNAcentral.
GCGAGCGGCGGAUGGGUGAGUAACACGUGGGGAACCUGCCCCUAAGUCUGGGAUACCAUUUGGAAACAGGUGCUAAUACCGGAUAAUAAAGCAGAUCGCAUGAUCAGCUUUUGAAAGGCGGCGUAAGCUGUCGCUAAGGGAUGGCCCCGCGGUGCAUUAGCUAGUUGGUAAGGUAACGGCUUACCAAGGCGACGAUGCAUAGCCGAGUUGAGAGACUGAUCGGCCACAUUGGGACUGAGACACGGCCCAAACUCCUACGGGAGGCAGCAGUAGGGAAUCUUCCACAAUGGACGCAAGUCUGAUGGAGCAACGCCGCGUGAGUGAAGAAGGUUUUCGGAUCGUAAAGCUCUGUUGUUGGUGAAGAAGGAUAGAGGUAGUAACUGGCCUUUAUUUGACGGUAAUCAACCAGAAAGUCACGGCUAACUACGUGCCAGCAGCCGCGGUAAUACGUAGGUGGCAAGCGUUGUCCGGAUUUAUUGGGUGUAAAGCGAGCGCAGGCGGAAAAAUAAGCCUAAUGUGAAAGCCCUCGGCUUAACCGAGGAACUGCAUCGGAAACUGUUUUUCUUGAGUGCAGAAGAGGAGAGUGGAACUCCAUGUGUA